RNAcentral lists this unclassified non-coding RNA (362 nucleotides) under plant metagenome. RNAcentral describes it as "partial contains 5.8S ribosomal RNA, internal transcribed spacer 2, and large subunit ribosomal RNA". The stretch from base 1 to 105 matches the Rfam family "5.8S ribosomal RNA", at positions 50 to 154 of the family's 154-position model. The record is from RNAcentral.
GAAUUGCGUUAAGAAUCACGAAUUACAGAUAUUAUGAGUGAUAUGUUUUCGAUUGCAUAUUGCAUCGUUGGGCACUUGCCCAUCGGUAUAUCCAACUCAGGGUGUGUAUCCCAAGAACGUGAAUACAAUGCACUCGUUGGUUGUAUUCAUAGAAGGCAUUUUGAAUCUUGUUUGGGGUGCGUUGAAGUGCUUUCGGAAGAGAAUGACUUGUGCGGGUUUCCAGCGGUCGGAUGUAAAUGAACUCUCAUACAUUCGGCUCCUAUGAAGCCACACAAAUAAGCCUCAACAACGAAGCACCAACCAAUGAAUGUUGUUGGUUUAAUCCACCUGAGUUGGUUAUGAUCACCCGCCGAACUUAAGCA